Molecule: ribosomal RNA, 468 nt
Filed under: uncultured bacterium
Lineage: Bacteria
Description: bacterial SSU rRNA
Rfam family: Bacterial small subunit ribosomal RNA
Source: RNAcentral
UGGGGAAUUUUGGACAAUGGGCGCAAGCCUGAUCCAGCCAUGCCGCGUGCAGGAUGACGGUCCUAUGGAUUGUAAACUGCUUUUUGUACAGGAAGAAACAGUUCUACGUGUAGAACCUUGACGGUACUGUAAGAAUAAGGAUCGGCUAACUCCGUGCCAGCAGCCGCGGUAAUACGGAGGAUCCAAGCGUUAUCCGGAAUCAUUGGGUUUAAAGGGUCCGUAGGCGGUUAGAUAAGUCAGUGGUGAAAGCCCAUCGCUCAACGGUGGAACGGCCAUUGAUACUGUCUGACUUGAAUUAUUAGGAAGUAACUAGAAUAUGUAGUGUAGCGGUGAAAUGCUUAGAGAUUACAUGGAAUACCAAUUGCGAAGGCAGGUUACUACUAAUGGAUUGACGCUGAUGGACGAAAGCGUGGGUAGCGAACAGGAUUAGAUACCCUAGUAGUCCCUGAGCGGGCUGGCAAGGCGCAU